UACGUAGGGUGCGAGCGUUGUCCGGAAUUAUUGGGCGUAAAGAGCUUGUAGGUGGCUCGUUGCGUCGGGAGUGAAAACCUGCGGCUUAACCGCAGGCCUGCUUCCGAUACGGGCGAGCUAGAGUUCGGCAGGGGAGACUGGAAUUCCUGGUGUAGCGGUGGAAUGCGCAGAUAUCAGGAAGAACACCCGUGGCUAAGGCGGCUCUCUAGUACGGUACUGACGCUGAGACGCGAAAGCGUGGGGAGCGAACAGG
This 253-nucleotide ribosomal RNA is filed under the name uncultured bacterium. RNAcentral's name for it is "partial 16S ribosomal RNA". It matches the Rfam family "Bacterial small subunit ribosomal RNA", at positions 524 to 776 of the family's 1533-position model. The record is from RNAcentral.